This 1548-nucleotide ribosomal RNA is filed under the name Triticum aestivum (bread wheat). RNAcentral's name for it is "partial small subunit ribosomal RNA". The record is from RNAcentral. Lineage: Eukaryota; Viridiplantae; Streptophyta; Magnoliopsida; Poales; Poaceae.
UGGGCUUGGGCACAUAUGAGGAGAAGUGAAGGGACGGAGACAGAGGGCGUAGCGCUAGUCAGUAGAGGAGGGUCGGAGGGGGCGGAGCGGCCUCUAGUGCUCUCCGCCGCGGGGGUAGGGGCGCUACCUGCGGAGGAUGGCGGCGAGUCCACGCCCGCCACCGCCGCCGAGUCGGGGGGCGUGGCAGCUCCUGUAGAAGUUCCUGAUGGCGCGGGCGGCGUUGCGGUAGGUGGCGCGGGAGUGGGUGCUGCAGCUCCUCAAGAUGCGCGUCACGCUAGGUCUCUUCCUCUUGGACACGGACAUGCCCAUGCGAUUGCUCCGCACCCUCCACCGCGACGGGCGCCUCCUCCACGGGUGGCUCGACGGCCUCGGCCGCGAGCCCUAGUUGAAACGCGCGCUGCCCUACUUCGCGUCGCUGACCGAGCGCGAGCAGCGGCAGGUGAGGCUAAGCACCGAACAGAGGCAUCGAAAGAUGAUACGGCGCGCCGAGUGGGCGUUGCUGGCCUUCGCAAAUAAACCUUACUACUUACUAAACGGUUGGCACAUACUUCAGUAGAGUCCAUACUCUGUUAGCUUCCUCUCCCUGUCUAGUCCACCAUAACUGUUGUCGCCAUCUUUGUUCGACGGUAGUUUCGUAUGUCAGCUCCGCGGCGGUGGUGGUGCACGUCUUUUAUUACGGUCCCUACGGCUACUUCCGAUGCUACUUCUACUGCCGCUGGUGUCGCUCUGGAAUACGCCUUGUACACCACCGUAUAUGUCGCGGCUCCUUAAGACCUAACCCACGCUGCACACGCUCUCCACCAUGGUACCGUUCACGCACUUCUAUUGAGGCCGCUUCCGCCUCUCGUAUUUCGUCAUGUUUACGGGUUCGACGUCGAGGUUCUCUGGAUCCGUCAUCGUCGCGGCGGAGGAAAACCGCCCCCUGCCGGGGGUACCUACCCCCGGAACUUCGUCGUCGUCGUCGCCAACUCUGAAAAUCUGAGGAACACGUUCCGAUUGAUGAUGGCAGAACGAUACAAAUGACAUGGAAAGCAAAGUCCAAAUGUAUACCACUACUACGAUUACGAACACUCCCUUCUACUGUGUGUAAAAGUUUCGGAAGAUUGCAAAGGUACAGGACUUCUCCUCAGUUUCCACAUACAACGGCCCUUCCCUAUCAUCUUACUACUUUUAUACACAUUGAAAAGUACCCUUCAAGUACAAGGUUAUUAGGCACUCCAAAUAAAUAUGAUAAGAUAGAUACAAUUAUAUACAUAAUAAUCAGACAAGUCGACAGUACACUUUGGACAACACCUUAUUGUUAAAACCAAUAGGACUUUUUGUUUGUUAUCGACCAAAUAGCUACGACGUAAGAAGUUCCUCGACGAGACGUUGCGGCUGACUGGCCGUCAUACCGAAUCUCGGUCGAGCAAAUAUGCCACCAUAUAUAUUUCAGCUAGGUAUAAUGAACAACUAGGCAUAAUGAACAGCGAAUUUACCUCAAUAGAUCUACUACAUAAAUUUGUAUAAAGUCACUGUAGGUAAACACAAUCUAUUUAUGCAUAAAGC